AAUGAUUCUGAUUUUUAGAAAAUAAAAUAAGAUUAGUAUUUUGGGUAAUUUCAGGAGUUUGAUAAUAGAGCUAUAAGUGAAAUUUUUUGGAUUUGUGGAUGUAGUUGUGCUUGAUGUGUACUAUGAAUUUGGAUUUGAUUAAACGAUUAGAUUGAAAAGUAUGAAGGUUUUUGUAGAUUAUGGUCUUAGAAUUUAGGAUUUUGAGGACCAAUGAGGUUUUCUUAGAUAUCUGUCAAUCUACCAAUUAGAUUGAGACAAAUUUUUUUCCU
This 269-nucleotide long non-coding RNA is filed under the name Physcomitrium patens. RNAcentral describes it as "long non-coding RNA (PPAT_LNC000618)". The record is from RNAcentral. Lineage: Eukaryota; Viridiplantae; Streptophyta; Bryopsida; Funariales; Funariaceae.